UUCGUCAUCAUGGCCCUUCAGCUCUGCUAAAAUGAAAAUGUCUUUGCAAUCCUGUUUGCAACUGCAUUUCCACUGUCAGCAAGGCAGUCCUGUCGUUUAAGCGCUGUGGGUUUGUUGGAUGUAUCAAGCGGGUUAAAGAAGCCGCGAUGUCCAUCUGUCCACCGAUCACUGCCCCUUUGGAAGGUCCUCGUCUGAGAAAGUCCUCAGCGAGCCGCCCGCAGCACACAGCGCUACUGUCCACAUUGGUCCAGCUGCAGUUCUGAAGUGGAACAACAAAGCCACAGCUCAUGAGAUGGAUUCUCCUGCGGCCGAUCACCUCAAGCAUGCCCCCUGCAGAGCUUUUAACUUUUUUUUUUCUUUUCUUGUUUGACUUCUCAGAAACUAAAAUGCAAGAUUUUGUCUUGUUAAAUAAUCACCUUGAUUUCCUUUACAUUAAAACAUUGAAAAUCAUGUACAAUACUGACACAGCUUAUGGUUCAAAGGUUUGAAAAUUCUUUCUGAAUUGAUGCAUAGGAUCUUUGUCUUAGUCCUAACGAAGUUCAUGGUCCAGUUUCAUGUUCCACAAAUGAAAUUAAUAAUAACUACACGUUUUCAAUAAAGUUUCCAUUUAACAAA
Molecule: long non-coding RNA, 615 nt
Organism: Colossoma macropomum (tambaqui)
Lineage: Eukaryota; Metazoa; Chordata; Actinopteri; Characiformes; Serrasalmidae
Exons: 2
Source: RefSeq, a predicted model, not a curated record